RNAcentral lists this ribosomal RNA (466 nucleotides) under uncultured bacterium. RNAcentral's name for it is "partial 16S ribosomal RNA". It matches the Rfam family "Bacterial small subunit ribosomal RNA", at positions 28 to 507 of the family's 1533-position model. The record is from RNAcentral.
GACGAACGCUGGCGGCGCGCCUAACACAUGCAAGUCGAACGAGCGAGAGGAGGUUUACUUUCUCAAGCGAGUGGCGAACGGGUGAGUAACGCGUGAGGAACCUGCCUCAAAGAGGGGGACAACAGUUGGAAACGACUGCUAACACCGCAUAAGCCCACGACCCGGCAUCGGGUAGAGGGAAAAGGAGCAAUCCGCUUUGAGAUGGCCUCGCGUCCGAUUAGCUAGUUGGUGAGGUAAUGGCCCACCAAGGCGACGAUCGGUAGCCGGACUGAGAGGUUGAACGGCCACAUUGGGACUGAGACACGGCCCAGACUCCUACGGGAGGCAGCAGUGGGGAAUAUUGCACAAUGGGGGAAACCCUGAUGCAGCGACGCCGCGUGGAGGAAGAAGGUCUUCGGAUUGUAAACUCCUGUUGUUGAGGAAGAUAAUGACGGUACUCAACAAGGAAGUGACGGCUAACUACGUG